Molecule: long non-coding RNA, 1055 nt
Filed under: Trifolium pratense (red clover)
Lineage: Eukaryota; Viridiplantae; Streptophyta; Magnoliopsida; Fabales; Fabaceae
Description: long non-coding RNA (TPRA_LNC000086)
Source: RNAcentral
GAGAAGGCAUGUCAAGGUAAAUUGUUUUGUGGAUAGUUCCGUGCCCCUGCACUUCUCUCCCUGCUCACCACCACAACCCUUCCUCUCCAACAUUCGAACGGUGAAGACAAGGUAAUGGAUAGUUUUGUUAAUAAUUUAGGAUUUUCUGAAAUUUAUUGAAUUUUUUGAUUUAUUCUUAUGUCUAAUCCUCAUUGUGAUUGGUGGAACUUGGUCAUUUUAAAUUCGCAUCAUUUGUUUCAUUGUGUUAUACUAUUAUUAUAUUUGAAAAUUUUAUGAAAAUAUAAGCAACAUGUUUCGUUAUAGAUUAUAUUUUAGUAACACAAAUGCAGAGAAAGUAGUAGCAAACAACUCUUUUUUCCUGAUACUUUAGUAAGUUACUAGUGUUUAAAGAAAUGUUUUAUAACCAUGUGUUCUAUCUAUAAUUUUGAUUCUCUGGUGAAAAAUGCAUGUUUUAGUGUAUCUUGUAGUAGGUUUGAUCGAUAGUUAGAUGAUGAUUCAUGAAAUUUAACUUUAAAAUUUUGAUACUUUAGUAAGUUACUAGCAUUUGAAGUGUAGACUACUCUGUAUUACAGUUGAGUUUAAUAUAUAAUUAGAUUAGAUUAGACGGUUCAUUAAAUGCAAUGAAUGUGAAGAUGAUAACCAAGGAAAGAAGAUAAAAAAGAAGCAGAUGCUAAUGGAAGGAAACACACCGAAGGAUAGCAGAGAAAGAUACUGACUGAACAAGUAAAUUUUGUUAGGCAAACUGCUUCUGCAAUAUGCUAGGCCAGUGUGAUAUCGUUUGAAAAUUAUUUAUAAGUUAGAGACCCCUUACCAUACAAAUUGAUUUUGUGAAGUUGAGUUAUACUCAAUCCAAGUUGUAACAAUUUUCAUUGCCGAACACUCCAAGUUGUAACAAAUUGGUGUACAAUCUGUUUGAAUUUCAUACCAAUGUGAAUGCUUAUUUGAGAAUGUAAAAAAGUGCUAUGCAGUGAACAAGCUCUGGAGAAAUGAGUACCGAGCUUUCGGACACCCACGUUGAUCCAGCUCUGUGGGAAAUUAGUGGACACAUGCAGUGU